AGAAAAUUAGUUAAAAAAUAACAUUAAUUUGUCAAAUUAAAAUUACUAUUGUAUUUUCUA
Molecule: transfer RNA, 60 nt
Filed under: Pseudoniphargus pityusensis
Lineage: Eukaryota; Metazoa; Arthropoda; Malacostraca; Amphipoda; Allocrangonyctidae
Description: tRNA-Asp
Source: RNAcentral